Molecule: non-coding RNA, 99 nt
Organism: Tephrocybe rancida
Lineage: Eukaryota; Fungi; Basidiomycota; Agaricomycetes; Agaricales; Lyophyllaceae
Source: the annotation of a GenBank genome assembly
UCUUUACUAGUAUAUCGGUUAGUACACGCGCCUGUCAUAACCGGUGCCUCGGAAGCAUGUAUUUCGCGCGAAAGCUGGGUUCGACUCCCAGGCAGAGAG